ACGAACGCUGGCGGCGUGCUUAACACAUGCAAGUCGAACGGAAAGGCCCUGCUUUUGUGGGGUGCUCGAGUGGCGAACGGGUGAGUAACACGUGAGUAACCUGCCCUUGACUUUGGGAUAACUUCAGGAAACUGGGGCUAAUACCGGAUAGGAGCUCCUGCUGCAUGGUGGGGGUUGGAAAGUUUCGGCGGUUGGGGAUGGACUCGCGGCUUAUCAGCUUGUUGGUGGGGUAGUGGCUUACCAAGGCUUUGACGGGUAGCCGGCCUGAGAGGGUGACCGGCCACAUUGGGACUGAGAUACCGCCCAGACUCCUACGGGAGGCAGGAGUGGGGAAUAUUGCACAAUGGGCGGAAGCCUGAUGCAGCAACGCCGCGUGCGGGAUGACGGCCUUCGGGUUGUAAACCGCUUUCGCCUGUGACGAAGCGUGAGUGACGGUAAUGGGUAAAGAAGCACCGGCUAACUACGUG
Molecule: ribosomal RNA, 467 nt
Filed under: uncultured bacterium
Lineage: Bacteria
Description: partial 16S ribosomal RNA
Rfam family: Bacterial small subunit ribosomal RNA
Source: RNAcentral